GGAGAGAUGGCUGAGCUGGUCUAAGGCGCACGACUGGAAAUCGUGUAACCGUUGAUAGCGGUUCAAGGGUUCGAAUCCCUUUCUCUCCGCCA
This 92-nucleotide transfer RNA is filed under the name Clostridia bacterium. RNAcentral describes it as "tRNA-Ser". It matches the Rfam family "tRNA". Rfam says of the family: Transfer RNA (tRNA) molecules are approximately 80 nucleotides in length. Lineage: Bacteria; Bacillati; Bacillota; Clostridia. The record is from RNAcentral.